Molecule: ribosomal RNA, 372 nt
Filed under: uncultured bacterium
Lineage: Bacteria
Description: bacterial SSU rRNA
Rfam family: Bacterial small subunit ribosomal RNA
Source: RNAcentral
GGACCCGCACAAGCGGUGGAGCAUGUGGUUUAAUUCGAUGCAACGCGAAGAACCUUACCAAGAAUUGACAUGCUGCGAACGUUUUACGAAAGUAAAAAAGUCUAUUAACUUAGUUAAUAGCGCAGACACAGGUGGUGCAUGGUUGUCGUCAGCUCGUGCCGUGAGGUUGUUAGGUUAAGUCCUGCAACGAGCGCAACCCUUGUCUUUAGUUAUAUUCUAGAGAGACUGCCCGGUGAUAAACCGGAGGAAGGUGAGGAUGACGUCAAAUCAGCAUGCCCCCUUACAUCUUGGGCGACUCACGUGCUACAAUGGUCGGGACAAAGAGAUGCUACCCCUGCGAAGGCAAGCUAACCUCAAAAACCCCGAUCUCAG